MicroRNA precursor from Dipodomys ordii (Ord's kangaroo rat), 99 nucleotides. Lineage: Eukaryota; Metazoa; Chordata; Mammalia; Rodentia; Heteromyidae. The record is from Ensembl.
GACAUUGGGCUCAAGGUGAGGGGUGCUAUCUGUGAUUGAGGGACAUGGUUAAUGGAAUUGUCUCACACAGAAAUCGCACCCGUCACCUUGGCCUGCUGA